UCAAACGGAUCCAGACAUAGGCAACAGCCCGUAGUCGCAGUCGUGUUCCAGUUGAAGAUUCUAUCACCCGUGGGGAGUUUGUUCUGAACUGCAAUCCAAGCAAUAAAGGAGAAUCGAGGUGUAUUGAACGGGAACCAAAUACCUUUGCACCAGUCAACCUUUGCUUGCUCAACACGGAUGAGCUUCCAUGUUUCCUUUGAGCUGAAGUAUGUUUUGUAGUUGUUUUCCCCUGUUUUCCACAAGCGCAAGUC
RNAcentral lists this long non-coding RNA (251 nucleotides) under Brassica napus (rape). RNAcentral describes it as "long non-coding RNA (BNAP_LNC020012)". The record is from RNAcentral. Lineage: Eukaryota; Viridiplantae; Streptophyta; Magnoliopsida; Brassicales; Brassicaceae.